UACGUAGGGGGCAAGCGUUGUCCGGAUUUAUUGGGCGUAAAGAGCGUGUAGGCGGCUUUACAGGUCCGUUGUGAAAACUCGAGGCUCAACCUCGAGACGCCGGUGGAAACCGUAAAGCUAGAGUCCGGAAGAGGAGAGUGGAAUUCCUGGUGUAGCGGUGAAAUGCGCAGAUAUCAGGAGGAACACCCGUGGCGAAAGUGGCUCUCUGGGACGGUACUGACGCUGAGACGCGAAAGCGUGGGGAGCAAACAGG
RNAcentral lists this ribosomal RNA (253 nucleotides) under uncultured bacterium. RNAcentral's name for it is "partial 16S ribosomal RNA". It matches the Rfam family "Bacterial small subunit ribosomal RNA", at positions 524 to 776 of the family's 1533-position model. The record is from RNAcentral.